UUUUAUGGAGAGUUUGAUCCUGGCUCAGGAUGAACGCUGGCGGCGUGCCUAAUACAUGCAAGUCGAGCGAACGGACGAGAAGCUUGCUUCUCUGAUGUUAGCGGCGGACGGGUGAGUAACACGUGGAUAACCUACCUAUAAGACUGGGAUAACUUCGGGAAAC
This 163-nucleotide ribosomal RNA is filed under the name Staphylococcus aureus. RNAcentral's name for it is "partial 16S ribosomal RNA". It matches the Rfam family "Bacterial small subunit ribosomal RNA", at positions 1 to 157 of the family's 1533-position model. Lineage: Bacteria; Bacillati; Bacillota; Bacilli; Caryophanales; Staphylococcaceae. RNAcentral also lists the same sequence under 1 other name. The record is from RNAcentral.